This 85-nucleotide transfer RNA is filed under the name Caulobacter phage CcrBL10. It matches the Rfam family "tRNA". Rfam says of the family: Transfer RNA (tRNA) molecules are approximately 80 nucleotides in length. Their secondary structure includes four short double-helical elements and three loops (D, anti-codon, and T loops). RNAcentral also lists the same sequence under 4 other names. The record is from Rfam by way of RNAcentral. Lineage: Duplodnaviria; Heunggongvirae; Uroviricota; Caudoviricetes; Jeanschmidtviridae.
UGCGAAGUGGCGGAAACUGGUAGACGCACCGGCAUGAGAGGCCGGCGCCCUUCGGGGCGUGAGGGUUCGAGUCCCUUCUUCGCGA